GAUGAACGCUGGCGGCGUGCCUAAUACAUGCAAGUCGAGCGAACGGACGAGAAGCUUGCUUCUCUGAUGUUAGCGGCGGACGGGUGAGUAACACGUGGAUAACCUACCUAUAAGACUGGGAUAACUCCGGGAAACCGGAGCUAAUACCGGAUAAUAUUUUGAACCGCAUGGUUCAAAAGUGAAAGACGGUCUUGCUGUCACUUAUAGAUGGAUCCGCGCUGCAUUAGCUAGUUGGUAAGGUAACGGCUUACCAAGGCAACGAUGCAUAGCCGACCUGAGAGGGUGAUCGGCCACACUGGAACUGAGACACGGUCCAGACUCCUACGGGAGGCAGCAGUAGGGAAUCUUCCGCAAUGGGCGAAAGCCUGACGGAGCAACGCCGCGUGAGUGAUGAAGGUCUUCGGAUCGCAAAACUCUGUUAUUAGGGAAGAACAUAUGUGUAAGUAACUGUGCACAUCUUGACGGUACCUAAUCAGAAAGCCACGGCUAACUACGUGCCAGCAGCCGCGGUAAUACGUAGGUGGCAAGCGUUAUCCGGAAUUAUUGGGCGUAAAGCGCGCGUAGGCGGUUUUUUAAGUCUGAUGUGAAAGCCCACGGCUCAACCGUGGAGGGUCAUUGGAAACUGGAAAACUUGAGUGCAGAAGAGGAAAGUGGAAUUCCAUGUGUAGCGGUGAAAUGCGCAGAGAUAUGGAGGAACACCAGUGGCGAAGGCGACUUUCUGGUCUGUAACUGACGCUGAUGUGCGAAAGCGUGGGGAUCAAACAGGAUUAGAUACCCUGGUAGUCCACGCCGUAAACGAUGAGUGCUAAGUGUUAGGGGGUUUCCGCCCCUUAGUGCUGCAGCUAACGCAUUAAGCACUCCGCCUGGGGAGUACGACCGCAAGGUUGAAACUCAAAGGAAUUGACGGGGACCCGCACAAGCGGUGGAGCAUGUGGUUUAAUUCGAAGCAACGCGAAGAACCUUACCAAAUCUUGACAUCCUUUGACAACUCUAGAGAUAGAGCCUUCCCCUUCGGGGGACAAAGUGACAGGUGGUGCAUGGUUGUCGUCAGCUCGUGUCGUGAGAUGUUGGGUUAAGUCCCGCAACGAGCGCAACCCUUAAGCUUAGUUGCCAUCAUUAAGUUGGGCACUCUAAGUUGACUGCCGGUGACAAACCGGAGGAAGGUGGGGAUGACGUCAAAUCAUCAUGCCCCUUAUGAUUUGGGCUACACACGUGCUACAAUGGACAAUACAAAGGGCAGCGAAACCGCGAGGUCAAGCAAAUCCCAUAAAGUUGUUCUCAGUUCGGAUUGUAGUCUGCAACUCGACUACAUGAAGCUGGAAUCGCUAGUAAUCGUAGAUCAGCAUGCUACGGUGAAUACGUUCCCGGGUCU
Molecule: ribosomal RNA, 1372 nt
Filed under: uncultured bacterium
Lineage: Bacteria
Description: bacterial SSU rRNA
Rfam family: Bacterial small subunit ribosomal RNA
Source: RNAcentral